CCCAGCACGUGCCCUCCAGCAGCAUUUUCGUCACCAAGCAUACAUACAGAGGCCGCAUUUAACGGGCUGUCUACCCCAGCUGCUGAGGACAAGAUCCACCUAGGGAACAACCUUUGGAUACCUGUUGACAAAUUCAAAUAUAUCCAGCGUGGGACCACAGACAUGAAGCUUGUAAAAGAUAUGGCCCGUCACUUCUGGACAGUCGACGAGUUGUCGUCGAGAAGCAUGACAGGCCAGCCCUGCAGGAGGCCAAGGGUUACGGGAGUUGCUAAACAGCAACCUACGCCUCAAAAAGUGGAGGCUAUAACAAGUAAGUCUCUGCGUUUGGUAUUCAACAAAGGCAAGCUGCC
Ornithodoros turicata is the source of this 350-nucleotide long non-coding RNA. RefSeq lists it as uncharacterized. The record is from RefSeq and is a predicted model, not a curated record. The transcript is spliced from 3 exons. Lineage: Eukaryota; Metazoa; Arthropoda; Arachnida; Ixodida; Argasidae.